RNAcentral lists this ribosomal RNA (484 nucleotides) under uncultured bacterium. Its description in RNAcentral is "partial 16S ribosomal RNA". It matches the Rfam family "Bacterial small subunit ribosomal RNA", at positions 30 to 507 of the family's 1533-position model. The record is from RNAcentral.
AUUGAACGCUGGCGGCAGGCCUAACACAUGCAAGUCGAGCGGAUGAGGGGAGCUUGCUCCUGGAUUCAGCGGCGGACGGGUGAGUAAUGCCUAGGAAUCUGCCUGGUAGUGGGGGAUAACGUCCGGAAACGGGCGCUAAUACCGCAUACGUCCUGAGGGAGAAAGUGGGGGAUCUUCGGACCUCACGCUAUCAGAUGAGCCUAGGUCGGAUUAGCUAGUUGGUGGGGUAAAGGCCUACCAAGGCGACGAUCCGUAACUGGUCUGAGAGGAUGAUCAGUCACACUGGAACUGAGACACGGUCCAGACUCCUACGGGAGGCAGCAGUGGGGAAUAUUGGACAAUGGGCGAAAGCCUGAUCCAGCCAUGCCGCGUGUGUGAAGAAGGUCUUCGGAUUGUAAAGCACUUUAAGUUGGGAGGAAGGGCAGUAAGUUAAUACCUUGCUCUUUUGACGUUACCAACAGAAUAAGCACCGGCUAACUUCGUG